Molecule: ribosomal RNA, 917 nt
Filed under: Kluyveromyces marxianus
Lineage: Eukaryota; Fungi; Ascomycota; Saccharomycetes; Saccharomycetales; Saccharomycetaceae
Description: LSU rRNA
Rfam family: Eukaryotic large subunit ribosomal RNA (bases 176-917)
Source: RNAcentral
CAUCUGCGUGAGCAGGGCUGCGUGUCAAGUCUAUGGACUCGACUCUUGCACAUCUACGUCUUAGGUUUGCGCCAAUUCGUGGUAAGCUUGGGUCAUAGAGACUCAUAGGUGUUAUAAAGACUCGCUGGUGUUUGUCUCCUUGAGGCAUACGGCUUUAACCAAAACUCUCAAAGUUUGACCUCAAAUCAGGUAGGAGUACCCGCUGAACUUAAGCAUAUCAAUAAGCGGAGGAAAAGAAACCAACCGGGAUUGCCUUAGUAACGGCGAGUGAAGCGGCAAAAGCUCAAAUUUGAAAUCUGGCGUCUUCGACGUCCGAGUUGUAAUUUGAAGAAGGCGACUUUGUAGCUGGUCCUUGUCUAUGUUCCUUGGAACAGGACGUCAUAGAGGGUGAGAAUCCCGUGUGGCGAGGAUCCCAGUUAUUUGUAAAGUGCUUUCGACGAGUCGAGUUGUUUGGGAAUGCAGCUCUAAGUGGGUGGUAAAUUCCAUCUAAAGCUAAAUAUUGGCGAGAGACCGAUAGCGAACAAGUACAGUGAUGGAAAGAUGAAAAGAACUUUGAAAAGAGAGUGAAAAAGUACGUGAAAUUGUUGAAAGGGAAGGGCAUUUGAUCAGACAUGGCGUUUGCUUCGGCUUUCGCUGGGCCAGCAUCAGUUUUAGCGGUUGGAUAAAUCCUCGGGAAUGUGGCUCUGCUUCGGUAGAGUGUUAUAGCCCGUGGGAAUACAGCCAGCUGGGACUGAGGAUUGCGACUUUUGUCAAGGAUGCUGGCGUAAAUGGUUAAAUGCCGCCCGUCUUGAAACACGGACCAAGGAGUCUAACGUCUAUGCGAGUGUUUGGGUGUAAAACCCGUACGCGUAAUGAAAGUGAACGUAGGUGAGGGCCCGCAAGGGUGCAUCAUCGACCGAUCCUGAUGUCUUCGGAUG